RNAcentral lists this ribosomal RNA (425 nucleotides) under Ostorhinchus endekataenia (candystripe cardinalfish). RNAcentral's name for it is "partial 12S rRNA". It matches the Rfam family "Bacterial small subunit ribosomal RNA", at positions 915 to 1530 of the family's 1533-position model. The record is from RNAcentral. Lineage: Eukaryota; Metazoa; Chordata; Actinopteri; Kurtiformes; Apogonidae.
GGCGCUUCAUACCCACCUAGAGGAGCCUGUUCUUUAACCGAUAACCCCCGUUUAACCUCACCUUUUCUUGUUGUCCCCGCCUAUAUACCGCCGUCGUCAGCCCACCCUGUGAAGGCCCAGUAGUGAGCAUAACUGGCAUCGCCCAAAACGUCAGGCCGAGGUGUAGCGUAUGAGAAGGGAAGAAAUGGGCUACAAUUGCUUAAAAAGCUAAAACGAAUUGUAACGCUGAAACGCAAACAUGAAGGAGGAUUUAGAAGUAAGGGGCAAGCAGAGUGUCCCCCUGAAAUGGCUCUGAAGCGUGCACACACCGCCCGUCACUCUCCCCAAUCUAAAUAUUUAUCACAUAACUAACUAUCUAGCCGUACUGUCGGGGAGACAAGUCGUAACAUGGUAAGUGUACCGGAAGGUGCCCUUGGAUUACAAAC